GCCCAGUGAUGAGACCAAGGCGAAUAUGAGCCCACUGAAUUUGAGUCUGAGCUCUCCUGUGUUCCCAUUGGCUGGUAAUCUUGGCUGGGCAGUGAAGGUUUGCUGUCUUGCUGUAAGGGCCUGCCUACAUUCAACAAGCCUCUUCCUCUUAAAUUUCUAUCCUUUGAAGAUGUAGGGAAGGAGAAAGGAGGAGGCUUACAUUUGUUUUUUUUGUGUGUGUGUGGGUCGCAGGUUGAGCCUCAGGUCUCUGCAUUAAUUCUGUUGGCGCUGAGCUCUCUCUUUGGUAAUCUGAGGGCA
Small nucleolar RNA from Megalobrama amblycephala (Wuchang bream), 297 nucleotides. Lineage: Eukaryota; Metazoa; Chordata; Actinopteri; Cypriniformes; Xenocyprididae. The record is from RefSeq and is a predicted model, not a curated record.